CUUGCUAAUUCGCUGACGAGCGGCGGACGGGUNAGUAAUGCCUAGGAAGUUGCCCAGUAGAGGGGGAUAACCAUUGGAAACGAUGGCUAAUACCGCAUAAUCUCUUUGGAGCAAAGCAGGGGACCUUCGGGCCUUGUGCUAUUGGAUACGCCUAGGUGGGAUUAGCUAGUUGGUGAGGUAAUGGCUCACCAAGGCGACGAUCCCUAGCUGGUCUGAGAGKAUGAUCAGCCACACUKGAACUGAGACACGGUCCAGACUCUACGGGAGCGCAGCAGUSGGGRAAUAUUGCACAAUGGGCGAAAGCCUGAUGCAGCCAUGCCGCSUGUAUGAAGAAGGCCUUCGGGUUGUAAAGUACUUUCAGCAGUGAGRAAGGUGGUVAKUUUAABMCDCACAUCACUUGACGUUAGCUGCAGAAGAAGCACCGGCUAACUCCGUGCCAGCAGCCGCGGUAAUACGGAGGGUGCGAGCGUUAAUCGGAAUUACUGGGCGUAAAGCGCAUGCAGGUGGUGGACUAAGUCAGAUGUGAAAGCCCGGGGCUCAACCUCGGAACUGCAUUUGAAACUGGUUCACUAGAGUACUGUAGAGGGGGGUAGAAUUUCAGGUGUAGCGGUGAAAUGCGUAGAGAUCUGAAGGAAUACCAGUGGCGAAGGCGGCCCCCUGGACAGAUACUGACACUCAGAUGCGAAAGCGUGGGGAGCAAACAGGAUUAGAUACCCUGGUAGUCCACGCCGUAAACGAUGUCUACUUGGAGGUUGUGGCCUUGAGCCGUGGCUUUCGGARCUAACGCGUUAAGUAGACCGCCUGGGGAGUACGGUCGCAAGAUUAAAACUCAAAUGAAUUGACGGGGGCCGCACAAGCGGUGGAGCAUGUGGUUUAAUUCGAUGCAACGCGAAGAACCUUACCUACUCUUGACAUCCAGAGAAGCCAGCGGAGACGCAGGUGUGCUUCGGGAACUCUGAGACAGGUGCUGCAUGGCUGUCGUCAGCUCGUGUUGUGAAWUGUUGGGUUAAGUCCCGCAACGAGCGCAACCCUUAUCCUUGUUUGCCAGCACGUAAUGGUGGGAACUCCAGGGAGACUGCCGGUGAUAAACCGGAGGAAGGUGGGGACG
RNAcentral lists this ribosomal RNA (1108 nucleotides) under endocytic bacterium Noc4. RNAcentral's name for it is "bacterial SSU rRNA". It matches the Rfam family "Bacterial small subunit ribosomal RNA", at positions 76 to 1181 of the family's 1533-position model. The record is from RNAcentral. Lineage: Bacteria; Pseudomonadati; Pseudomonadota; Gammaproteobacteria; Vibrionales; Vibrionaceae.